This 786-nucleotide ribosomal RNA is filed under the name Salmonella enterica. RNAcentral describes it as "partial 23S ribosomal RNA". It matches the Rfam family "Bacterial large subunit ribosomal RNA", at positions 1 to 1230 of the family's 2925-position model. RNAcentral also lists the same sequence under 1 other name. Lineage: Bacteria; Pseudomonadati; Pseudomonadota; Gammaproteobacteria; Enterobacterales; Enterobacteriaceae. The record is from RNAcentral.
CCACCACCAAAGCAUUUGCUGUACCGCGUUGACGGAGCGAAGCGACGUCAAACCGAUAAAACAGCAGUGUAAAGUGAGCCGCAGGGCGCUUUGCGCGACAGCGCAAAGGCAGGCGGUUUCGCGUAGCGAAAGCGAAUGCUUUGGGGUGGGGUGACUGCGUACCUUUUGUAUAAUGGGUCAGCGACUUAUAUUCUGUAGCAAGGUUAACCGAAUAGGGGAGCCGGAGGGAAACCGAGUCUUAAUUGGGCGUUAAGUUGCAGGGUAUAGACCCGAAACCCGGUGAUCUAGCCAUGGGCAGGUUGAAGGUUGGGUAACACUAACUGGAGGACCGAACCGACUAAUGUUGAAAAAUUAGCGGAUGACCUGUGGCUGGGGGUGAAAGGCCAAUCAAACCGGGAGAUAGCUGGUUCUCCCCGAAAGCUAUUUAGGUAGCGCCUCGUGAAUUCAUCUCCGGGGGUAGAGCACUGUUUCGGCUAGGGGGCCAUCCCGGCUUACCAACCCGAUGCAAACUGCGAAUACCGGAGAAUGUUAUCACGGGAGACACACGGCGGGUGCUAACGUCCGUCGUGAAGAGGGAAACAACCCAGACCGCCAGCUAAGGUCCCAAAGUCAUGGUUAAGUGGGAAACGAUGUGGGAAGGCCCAGACAGCCAGGAUGUUGGCUUAGAAGCAGCCAUCAUUUAAAGAAAGCGUAAUAGCUCACUGGUCGAGUCGGCCUGCGCGGAAGAUGUAACGGGGCUAAACCAUGCACCGAAGCUGCGGCAGCGACACUGUGUGUUGUUGGGUA